AACUGUUAAGUGAAUGAACUCAUCCAGUGUGAUGAUUGGGUUUUCAUGCUACUGUGUGAGAUGUGUUGCCUCAGAUUUUGUUAUGAUGUCAGCACAUUAUCCAUCUGACA
Molecule: small nucleolar RNA, 110 nt
Organism: Psammomys obesus (fat sand rat)
Lineage: Eukaryota; Metazoa; Chordata; Mammalia; Rodentia; Muridae
Product: small nucleolar RNA U13
Exons: 1
Source: RefSeq, a predicted model, not a curated record